This 71-nucleotide transfer RNA is filed under the name Danio rerio (zebrafish). It matches the Rfam family "tRNA". Rfam says of the family: Transfer RNA (tRNA) molecules are approximately 80 nucleotides in length. Their secondary structure includes four short double-helical elements and three loops (D, anti-codon, and T loops). The record is from Rfam by way of RNAcentral. Lineage: Eukaryota; Metazoa; Chordata; Actinopteri; Cypriniformes; Danionidae.
GCACUGGUGGUUCAGUGGUAGAAUUCUCGCCUGCCACGCGGGAGACCCGGAUUCGAUUACCGUUCAAUGCA